UUCCUCUGUUGCCGGUGCCAGGGAUGCCCCCUCCCGUGCCUCCCCUCCGCCGGCGAGACGACUUCCUCCUCCUCUACGCCCCUGCCCUGCUCCCUUCCAUGCCUCCUUACCGCUGCUGUGACGACCAGCCCCCUCCCCUGCCUCCCGGCCGCUGCCCUCGCUCCGGCCGCACUCCCCCAUCGUAGAUCCCGGUCACCAGAGAGCCGGCACCAUCAUCUGCACCUGCAUCUAGUUCUCCAGUAGCCCGUGAAGAUAAAUCAUGUGAACUCACAGCAAAUAUGGCCGCAAUGUCCAAUAAAGAUAUCCCUGGGGCUGAAGCCCAGGCUUACAAUGAUGAAAUCCCUGUCAAGUUAUGUCAGCUUGAUGGUGAUCCCAUUGGUUCUCUUGCAAAUGUCCUUGCUGAACUACUGUAGCAUGAAGAUUCUUGUUCUGGGGAUUCUAGAAGACUGACCAACUCCAGUAAGUUAUUGCUACUGAAAGAAAACAUUGCCAAGGAGCUCGAAAAGACUGAACUUGAGAUUGAUUCAUUGGAAUGUGAUCUUAAAUUAGUGACCACUGAACCUGAAAAUAGGCCUCUUGAAAAUGCACAAAACCCUUUACCUUCUAGUGGGACGCCAAAGGUUCCGGUCAAGCCUGAGACAUGUGAAACAUCAUCUCCUCUGAAAGAACAAGGGGAGCUCUCUCCCUGCAAGAUCUCCAUGGAAGUUGAGACUGCUCCUGUUCACAAUGUAAUGGCAGUCUCUCCAGAAGGGAGUGUUGCACGUCCUGAACAAUGAAAUAGCCGGAGAAUUCAAUGAAUUGGCGUUCAAACCUUUGCCUGCUGAUCAACCUUGUCUUGAUUUGUCGGCAUUGGCUCAUUUUUCAAGCCAAAGGAAGAAUGACCUGAGUAUCAGAAAGAAGCUUGCCAUACGCAAAACUGAACUAAGAUUCAAAGAGCAAACGCUCACCUUUAAAUUCAAGGUGUUGCGGCACCUGUGGAAAGAGGAUGUGCGUCUCCUUACAGUAAGAAAGCAGCGUACAAAGUCUAGCAAGCCCACUGAUCAGAGCAACCGUGCAUCACACAGUGGAUCUCAGAGGCAGCGCUCCUCUAAUCGCUCUCGAUUGGGCAUGCCUGAUAUGGAGAUUAUCAUAUAAAACUGGAUGUACAUUCACCGAGUCGAUCCUCCGAUCUCGCGGUUUCCCCACUGGCCUCUUCACCGCACCGCAAUUGAUGGAUGCCCGAGAGAGGUUCCGCCUGGAUGGGGUGGAUAUUUCUGAAGAUAUUUUUUUAAGUACUUCAGGUGGUGCUCGAAUCAACUUCAGCCACUCUUCAUGUGCUUCAUCAAUCAUAAAUUAUUUCCCUGUUGUUGUGAUAAAUUCAUAAGUGAAAGCCUCUGGUGGUUCUACAUCAAUUGCGUCAGUAUAUGGAGUCAACAAUCUACUUUGGGUGUCGGGAGAUGCAGGAGCUAUAAAAGAUUUUGCAAUUCCAUGAAAGUACCACAAAUUUAGCACAUGUAUGGCAAAUGAAAGAAGCCAGUGAGUCAGCACAUUUGAGGAAAACGUCAACAUCAUCUACUUUGGGUCAAGAGAGAUGCAGGAGCUGCAAAAGAUUAGGCUAGACGCAUUAUGACCGGACACACAAGGCCUCCUAGGGAAUCUGAUAUGAGGCAAGAUUCUCACAUGAUGGGGAAGUUCUUCAAACAAAUUGCAUACAACUGGUGAUCCGCAUGAGAGUAAAAUACAUACAAUUUGUUACCUUUACUGGUGAUCCGCUAUUUCCCUGAUGGGGAAGUUCUUCAAACAAAGUGCACCUCAAGUUGACAAACUCAUUACUCUCCCUGAUGACUGGUACCCUUUAUAUGCACGCACCAGAAAGCAUGGCUGGGCGAUUAGGAUUCUAACGAUAUUGUUGAUCCGCAAUGAUGGAGUUUCCUUUAAAAUGUGAGAGAUCCCUAAAAUGGUGGAGUUUCCUUUGAAAUGGCUGGGCGUUUCAAAUUAGUGUGUACUUUCCUUUCAUGUAGCCAUGACGUAAUGGUGUGUUGUUAAAUUAGUGUGUACUUUCCUUUCAUGAGAUCCCUAAAAUGCUGGAGUUUCCUUUGAAAUGUUGCAGUUUCCUUUGAAAUGGCUGGGCGGUUCAAAUUAGUGUGUACUUUCCUUUCAUGUAGCCAUGACGUAAUGGUGUGUUGUUAAAUUAGUGUGUACUUUCCUUUCUGGUA
Lolium perenne is the source of this 2195-nucleotide non-coding RNA. The record is from RefSeq and is a predicted model, not a curated record. NCBI's taxonomy places the organism in Eukaryota, Viridiplantae, Streptophyta, Magnoliopsida, Poales, Poaceae.